This 274-nucleotide long non-coding RNA is filed under the name Junco hyemalis (dark-eyed junco). Its description in RNAcentral is "lncRNA (ENSJHYG00000017090.1)". The record is from RNAcentral. Lineage: Eukaryota; Metazoa; Chordata; Aves; Passeriformes; Passerellidae.
GAAAAAAGACAAAUUUGAGGGGAAAAAAGUGAAUUUUUGACUUUAAAACCCUCAAAUUUUAGUGUGGGGAAAGGUGAAAUUGAACGAUUAAAAACCCUGAAUUUCUAUGGAGAAAAAAGCCAAAUUUUGAGGAGCAGGAAUGUUUCCAGGAGGAGCUGAGGAGGGCCCAGCGCAAACUGCUGAAAGUGUCACGGGAUAAAAGUUUCCUCCUGGACCGCCUCCUCCAGUACGAAAACGUCGACGAUGAUUCCUCAGGUACCUCGGGGUGGGCGGG